RNAcentral lists this transfer RNA (73 nucleotides) under Aeromonas salmonicida. RNAcentral describes it as "tRNA-OTHER". The record is from RNAcentral. Lineage: Bacteria; Pseudomonadati; Pseudomonadota; Gammaproteobacteria; Aeromonadales; Aeromonadaceae. RNAcentral also lists the same sequence under 3 other names.
GCCUGAUGUUUUUGGCGUCACCUUUUCAUUCGUAAUGCGAAGGUCGCAGGUUCGACUCCUGCUAUCGGCACCA